This 253-nucleotide ribosomal RNA is filed under the name uncultured bacterium. RNAcentral describes it as "partial 16S ribosomal RNA". It matches the Rfam family "Bacterial small subunit ribosomal RNA", at positions 524 to 776 of the family's 1533-position model. The record is from RNAcentral.
UACGUAGGGUGCAAGCGUUGUCCGGAAUUAUUGGGCGUAAAGAGCUCGUAGGCGGUUUGUCGCGUCGAAUGUGAAAACCCGGGGCUCAACCCCGAGCCUGCAGUCGAUACGGGCAGACUAGAGUGCUGUAGGGGAGACUGGAAUUCCUGGUGUAGCGGUGAAAUGCGCAGAUAUCAGGAGGAACACCGGUGGCGAAGGCGGGUCUCUGGGCAGUAACUGACGCUGAGGAGCGAAAGCGUGGGGAGCGAACAGG